Molecule: ribosomal RNA, 287 nt
Filed under: Duellmanohyla uranochroa (Costa Rica brook frog)
Lineage: Eukaryota; Metazoa; Chordata; Amphibia; Anura; Hylidae
Description: partial 12S ribosomal RNA
Rfam family: Microsporidia small subunit ribosomal RNA
Source: RNAcentral
UCAAUGUCCAUACGUCAAAACGUCAGGUCAAGGUGCAGUAGAUAAAAUGGGAAGAGAUGGGCUACACUCUCUAAUAUAGAAGACACGAAAGACUAUUUAUGAAACCUAGUCAGAAGGCGGAUUUAGGAGUAAAGAGGGAUCAUGAAGCUCUCUUUAACACGGCCCUGGGGUGUGUACUCACCGCCCGUCACCCUCUUCGAAGCAAUAAAACAGUAUUUAACACGAGUCAGCUAGUUAGAAGAGGUAAGUCGUAACAUGGUAAGUGUACCGGAAGGUGCACUUGGAAA